Molecule: transfer RNA, 76 nt
Filed under: Mycobacterium sp.
Lineage: Bacteria; Bacillati; Actinomycetota; Actinomycetes; Mycobacteriales; Mycobacteriaceae
Also listed under: 81 other names
Description: tRNA-Lys
Rfam family: tRNA
About the family: Transfer RNA (tRNA) molecules are approximately 80 nucleotides in length. Their secondary structure includes four short double-helical elements and three loops (D, anti-codon, and T loops).
Source: RNAcentral
GCGCCGCUAGCUCAACUGGCAGAGCAGCUGACUCUUAAUCAGCGGGUUCGGGGUUCGAGUCCCUGGCGGCGCACCA